This 659-nucleotide long non-coding RNA is filed under the name Ananas comosus (pineapple). Its description in RNAcentral is "long non-coding RNA (ACOM_LNC026493)". The record is from RNAcentral. Lineage: Eukaryota; Viridiplantae; Streptophyta; Magnoliopsida; Poales; Bromeliaceae.
UAUAAUAAUGUAGUGUGGCAUUUGCAAUAGUCUCAUUUUGUCUAGAAAUUAGAUUUUUGUUUACGUAAAGUGAGAAAGUACUGUAAAAAAAAAUUGUUCUACUUAACUGUGAAUGAAAAAUAAUAUAUUGUGGUACUUGUAGCAAUCAUUCUGUCUAAAAAUUAGGGCUCUAUUUGUAAUUGUAGGAAGAUUGCAUUAUGCAAAAGAAAUAUAUUUAAUUUUAUUCCGUAUGUUAUAAUAUAUUUGGCAUUGGUAACCGUCAUUCUGUCGAGAAAUUAAGGAUUUGUUUGGAAUUACAGGAGAAUUGUAUUACAUGCAAUAAAAAAAUACUUAAUUCAGUAGGUAAUAAUGGUGUGGCAUUUGUAGUAAUUAUUAUAUCUGGAAAUUAGAGGUCUAUUUGGAAUUGUAGAAAAAUUACAUUACCGGCAAUAAAAAAAGAGAAAAAAUAAUAUAUUAUAUUAUCCUACUUAAUUCCAUACGUAAUAAUAUAUUGUGGCACUUGUACUAAUCAUUCUAUCUAAAAAUUAGGAAUCUAUUUAGAAUUGUAGAAAAAUUAUAUUACGUGCAAUGAGAAAGUACAAUAAAAAAAUAUAUUUUAUCUUAAUUCCGUAUGUAAUAAUAUAUUGUGCAGCAAUAAAUCACUAUAAUUUUUGGAUUCC